CCUACGGGGGGCAGCAGUGGGGAAUAUUGGGCAAUGGGCGCAAGCCUGACCCAGCAACGCCGCGUGAAGGAAGAAGGCUUUCGGGUUGUAAACUUCUUUUCUGAGGGACGAAGAACGUGACGGUACCUCAGGAAUACGCCACGGCUAACUACGUGCCAGCAGCCGCGGUAAUACGUAGGGGGCAAGCGUUAUCCGGAUUUACUGGGUGUAAAGGGGGCGCAGACGGCAAUGCAAACCAGGAGUGAAAGCCCGGGGCCCAGCCCCGGGACUGCUCUUGGAACUGCAUGGCUGGAGUACAGGAGGGGCAGGCGGAAUUCCUAGUGUAGCGGUGAAAUGCGUAGAUAUUAGGAGGAACACCGGUGGCGAAGGCGGCCUGCUGGACUGUGACUGACGUUGAGGCCCGAAGGCGUGGGGAGCAAACAGGAUUAGAUACCCUUGUAGUC
RNAcentral lists this ribosomal RNA (443 nucleotides) under uncultured bacterium. RNAcentral describes it as "partial 16S ribosomal RNA". It matches the Rfam family "Bacterial small subunit ribosomal RNA", at positions 338 to 795 of the family's 1533-position model. The record is from RNAcentral.